Molecule: ribosomal RNA, 600 nt
Filed under: uncultured bacterium
Lineage: Bacteria
Description: bacterial SSU rRNA
Rfam family: Bacterial small subunit ribosomal RNA
Source: RNAcentral
CCUACGGGAGGCAGCAGUGGGGAAUAUUGGACAAUGGGCGAAAGCCUGAUCCAGCAAUGCCGCGUGAGUGAUGAAGGCCUUAGGGUUGUAAAGCUCUUUUACCAGGGAUGAUAAUGACAGUACCUGGAGAAUAAGCUCCGGCUAACUCCGUGCCAGCAGCCGCGGUAAUACGGAGGGAGCUAGCGUUGUUCGGAAUUACUGGGCGUAAAGCGUACGUAGGCGGUUAUUCAAGUCAGAGGUGAAAGCCUGGAGCUCAACUCCAGAACUGCCUUUGAAACUAGAUAGCUAGAAUCUUGGAGAGGUGAGUGGAAUUCCGAGUGUAGAGGUGAAAUUCGUAGAUAUUCGGAAGAACACCAGUGGCGAAGGCGACUCACUGGACAAGUAUUGACGCUGAGGUACGAAAGCGUGGGGAGCAAACAGGAUUAGAUACCCUGGUAGUCCACGCCGUAAACGAUGAUAACUAGCUGUUCGGGCUCUACGAGCUUGAGUGGCCGNNGCUACGCAUUAAGUUAUCCGUCCGUGGAGGUACGGUCGCGAGAAUAAACUACAANAGAGUAGACGCGNGAGACGUGCCGACGGACGACGACGAGGGAGGUUAGG